AUCUGGUUGGCUCAGUCAGUAGAGCAUGUGACUCUUGAUCUCGGGGUUGUGAGUUUAAGUCCCACGUUGGGUA
This 73-nucleotide transfer RNA is filed under the name Felis catus (domestic cat). It matches the Rfam family "tRNA". From Rfam's summary of the family: Transfer RNA (tRNA) molecules are approximately 80 nucleotides in length. Their secondary structure includes four short double-helical elements and three loops (D, anti-codon, and T loops). Lineage: Eukaryota; Metazoa; Chordata; Mammalia; Carnivora; Felidae. The record is from Rfam by way of RNAcentral. RNAcentral also lists the same sequence under 5 other names.